CAGGGAACGUGUGCUGAGGCUUUUUAGGGGUGCGGGGCAACUCCCCAACAGCGUGGGGCUCUGGUCGGCUCUGCCACAGCGGCGCAGACCUCCUAAUCUGUCUCUGCGCGUGGCGCACUGCUGGAGACUUGGGUUCAGGGGCGGCGGGGCUGCUUGACCUGGGGUCCUCGAGACCCUAAGCAAGUUCCACUUUAGAUACACCUCACAAUGACCCCUCAGGUCAAGGCCUCAACCCGAAGGCAGCGCCUAAGAAUCGCACUCCCUAGAAUGCUCCAGCACUCACAGGGGCCUUCUCUGGGGUAACGGGACCCCAGCCGGAUACUACAGCUCCAGCUGCUUGCGUCCCAUGCAUCGCCCUCUCGGGAGAGACCAGCUACCUAACUUUCUCUACCAGAGACCGCGCUGGCGUCUCGGGAGGGAUGCUCUGCCCAGGGAGUCCCUCGGUCGCGGGACCUGUGGCCGCCAGAGCAGCUGGAUCUGGAGUGUGCUGCCUGUGAACAGCCUGUGAAAGUGGCUCUUCUCCCUCUGGGUCAGAGGAUGUCUCUGCUCUGGGGGCAAGGGAGUAAACAUCAGCACUUCCCACCUGAAGGAAGCCAUCAGACUCCUUUGCUGUUUCUAGCACUCUUUGUAAGGUCUUUCAGGAGGACUUCAGAAAUCUCCCUGAACGUGCCUGGCUGGGGGUUCCACUCAUGGUUCUAUCCCUAAGCAGGGCUCCU
This 716-nucleotide long non-coding RNA is filed under the name Mus musculus (house mouse). Its description in RNAcentral is "deiodinase, iodothyronine type III, opposite strand". The record is from RNAcentral. Lineage: Eukaryota; Metazoa; Chordata; Mammalia; Rodentia; Muridae.